This 293-nucleotide ribosomal RNA is filed under the name uncultured bacterium. RNAcentral's name for it is "partial 16S ribosomal RNA". It matches the Rfam family "Bacterial small subunit ribosomal RNA", at positions 8 to 292 of the family's 1533-position model. The record is from RNAcentral.
AGAGUUUGAUCAUGGCUCAGGAUAAACGCUGGCGGCGCACAUAAGACAUGCAAGUCGAACGGACUUAACCAUUAGUUUACUAUUGGAGCGGUUAGUGGCGGACUGGUGAGUAACACGUAAGCAACCUGCCUAUCAGAGGGGAACAACAGUUAGAAAUGACUGCUAAUACCGCAUAUGCCUUAACCUUCGCAUGAAGGAAGAGGGAAAGGAGCAAUCCGCUGAUAGAUGGGCUUGCGUCUGAUUAGAUAGUUGGUGGGGUAACGGCCUACCAAGUCAACGAUCAGUAGCCGCGG